CAUUUCCCAUUUCGUGAGUUCAAGAGAGAGAGAGGGAGAGAGAGAGAGUUGGAUCAUCUUCAUUUCUUCCACCUUGAUGCUUGCUUCCAUAGCCAAAUUCCUUCACAUCUCUCGAUUAUAUUCGGGUUUGAGUAAAAAUUGGGGAAAAACAACUCCAAAAGGUCUUCUACGGGACUAGUAACCUGGUUGAGAUGCAGUUUAGUGAGUGCCUCUGUAGCCGAUGAGCUCUGA
Ipomoea triloba (trilobed morning glory) is the source of this 231-nucleotide long non-coding RNA. RefSeq lists it as uncharacterized. The transcript is spliced from 3 exons. Lineage: Eukaryota; Viridiplantae; Streptophyta; Magnoliopsida; Solanales; Convolvulaceae. The record is from RefSeq and is a predicted model, not a curated record.